CUUUCUCUCCCAUGUCUCAACAGGACACAGAACAGCCAGACCUGCUGUACAGACGGCUUGCACUGCAGACAGCCCCAGAUCGCAGCACAUAGUGCCAGCAGCCGUGCAAACAGAGAUGGCUCAGAAGGCUUGGGUCCUUCUCCAAUUAGCUCGUGCCUGCAUAUAAAUAUUUGGAGAGUAGUGCGGUGUUUUGAAGGAACAAGAGAGAGAGUGAGAGAAAGGCACUAGAACACUGAAUCAGGACUGCUGAAGACUUUGAAAGGCACUAUGUUGGUCUUCCCUACGGAUGGAGGGUUUCCUGCGAUCUUAACCAUUCAACUGCCUCCUUCCCUGAAAGAAUUGAGCCAAGAUUCACAUAAGAUUCUUCAGGCAGGACACAGAACAGCCAGACCUGCAGACGGCUUGCACUGCAGACAGCCCCAGAUCGCAGCACAUAGUGCCAGCAGCCGUGCAAACAGAGAUGGCUCAGAAGGAUUGGGUCCUUCUCCAAUUAGCUCGUGCCUGCAUAUAAAAGAUUUGGAGAGUACUGCGGUGUUCUGAAUGGAAAAGAGAGAGAAUAAGAGAAAGGCACUAGAACUCUGAAUCAGGACUGCUGAAGACUUUGAAAGGGACUAUGUUGGUCUUCCCUACGGAUGGAGGGUUUCCUGCGAUCUUAACCAUUCAACUGCCUCCUUCCGUGAAAGAAUUGAGCCAAGAUUCAGAUAACAUUCUUCAGGCAGGACACAGAACAGCCAGACCUGCUGUACAGACGGCUUGCACUGCACACAGCCCCAGAUCGCAGCACAUAGUGCCAGCAGCCGUGCAAACAGAGAUGGCUCAGAAGGCUUGGGUCCUUCUCCAAUUAGCUCGUGCCUGCAUAUAAAAGAUUUGGAGAGUACUGCGGUGUUCUGAAUGGAAAAGAGAGAGAAUAAGAGAAAGGCACUAGAACUCUGGAUCAGGUAAGAAAAAAUACAGACACACACACGCACACGCACACACACACACACACACACACACACACACACCCAGACACACUCACCUGAAUUUUAGUAACCAAAUAGAUAUCCUUGGUUUUCCUGAACUGCCAUUUUGAAUAGUUCCCAAGGAAUACAUGUAAAACACAAUUUUCAUUAUUACAAUUUCAACUAUCUUUGUUUACUAUGUCUUCUGAGAAGACAGGACUCUCAGGAAAAACAAAACAGUAUAAGUAAUUAAGGAGAGUACAAGCAAAGGUUUUACACAACAAAAACAUACAGGAAAGGGAAGUAUGGACACAGGAGCUAGAAAGGUUGCUAGAACAAAGCUUCCGAACUUCAUAUAUCAGACCCAAGAACAGAGAAAUAACAAUAAAUUUUGGAAGCUGAGCCUAGAGAACGGUUUAGAGGUUGAAAAUUAAAAUUAGGGAGAUACAGAGAGAAACAAUGACAAAUUUGGAAGAGAGAGGGAUAGGGAGAGAGAGAAAGAGAGAGAGGCAAAAGAAAAGAACCGGUGAGAACAUAGAGAGCUGUAGUAGUAUGCAGUCCUUUUAUACAAAACCCAUGAGUAGUACAAUUGGUGGCAGUGAUGUCUUUGGGCUCCAGUGAGUAUUGGGGAUGACAUUAAACCCCUUUGAGAUAACAGAGAAGUCUUUCAGACACAGCCUUCCUGAAAACCUUGGAAAGCCUUAAGUCCAGAAAUAUACUUGGUCAGAAUUGAGGUGCCAACGUGAAUUUCAGAAACUCUGUAGAAGGAAGAAACUCCUUAGGGGAAGGUCUUAGGUCCCACGGAGAUCCUGAGAAGGUCUGAGCACUGAAGUAGAACCUUAGGAAGGAAUCCAUAGAGGUCCGAGUACUGAGGACGGCCCUGGAUCCCUGUGACUCCCUAAAGAGGUCUUAGUGAAUGGUGAGAGGUAAAGGCCUUCUCAUACUCUCAGAAACUUGGAAACCCUCUGGGAACAGAUGAGUACUCAAGAGACAUUAUUCUGCAAGGAAGUCCAGUGAGAGUCUCAAAAUAUUUACAUUCAAGUUAGCAUCUUAUGACGGCCAUGAGCCCCAGUGAGUGUCAUGAGCAGGGAGGAAGGUAUUUGUCCUCUUAGCAAAAGACAAGUGGUCUUCCUGAGGUUCUCCACCCAUGGUUCCCACAAGUUCCUAACCACUAUGCUAUUCCUCCCUGUUCAAGGCUGCUCAGUCUAUGGCAGUUCCAAGUUUUCCUUACGAUCUAUAGCCCCCAGGUGGUUGUACCUGAAUCCAAGAACUUCCGCAGUAUGACAAACAUAAUUUUUGAAAAAGCCUUUGAGUCAUAAGAUAAAAAAGCUUAAAUUCUGGAAACCCACAGUGCCCAGCCUGUGCCUGAUAAUCAGACUGCAGGUAUAUCAAUUACUAGAGAUAAUCUGACAUGUGACAGAACAAAGUGACAAUGCCACCUCCCCACUUGAGAGUAUAUAAUCAGAGAACAAAAGUAAUGCAUAGUACUUUGCCCUUACAGGACUGCUGAAGACUUUGAAAGGGACUAUGUUGGUCUUCCCUACGGAUGGAGGGUUUCCUGCGAUCUUAACCAUUCAACUGCCUCCUUCCGUGAAAUAAUUGAGCCAAGAUUCAGAUAAGAUUCUCCAGGCAGGACACAGAACAGCCAGACCUGCUGUACAGACGGCUUGAACUGCAGACAGCCCCAGAUCGCAGCACAUAGUGCCAGCAGCCGUGCAAACAGAGAUGGCUCAGAAGGCUUGGGUCCUUCUCCAAUUAGCUCGUGCCUGCAUAUAAAAGAUUUGGAGAGUACUGCGGUGUUCUGAAUGGAAAAGAGAGAGAAUAAGAGAAAGGCACUAGAACUCUGAAUCAGGACUGCUGAAGACUUUGAAAGGGACUAUGUUGGUCUUCCCUACGGAUGGAGGGUUUCCUGCGAUCUUAACCAUUCAACUGCCUCCUUCCGUGAAAUAAUUGAGCCAAGAUUCAGAUAAGAUUCUUCAGGCAGGACACAGAACAGCCAGACCUGCUGUACAGAAGGCUUGCACUGCAGACAGCCCCAGAUCGCAGCACAUAGUGCCAGCAGGCGUGCAAACAGACAUGGCUCAGAAGGCUUGGGUCCUUCUCCAAUUAGCUCGUGCCUGCAUAUAAAAGAUUUGGAGAGUACUGCGGUGUUCUGAAUGGAAAAGAGAGAGAAUAAGAGAAAGGCACUAGAACUCUGAAUCAGGACUGCUGAAGACUUUGAAAGGGACUAUGUUGGUCUUCCCUACGGAUGGAGGGUUUCCUGCGAUCUUAACCAUUCAACUGCCUCCUUCCGUGAAAUAAUUGAGCCAAGAUUCAGAUAAGAUUCUCCAGGCAGGACACAGAACAGCCAGACCUGCUGUACAGACGGCUUGCACUGCACACCGCCCCAGAUUGCUGCAUAUGCAGCCAGCAGCUGUUCAAAUAAACAGACAUGGCUCAGAAGGCUUGGGUCCUUCUCCAAUUAGCUCGUGCCUCCAUAUAAAAGAUUUGGAGAGUACUGCGGUGUUCUGAAUGGAAAAGAGAGAGAGUAAGAGAAAGGCACUAGAACUCUGAAACAGGACUGCUGAAGACUUUGAAAGGGACUAUGUUGGUCUUCCCUACGGAUGGAGGGUUUCCUGCGAUCUUAACCAUUCAACUGCCUCCUUCCGUGAAAUAAUUGAGCCAAGAUUCAGAUAAGAUUCUUCAGGCAGGACACAGAACAGCCAGACCUGCUGUACAGACGGCUUGCACUGCACACCGCCCCAGAUUGCUGCAUAUGCAGCCAGCAGCUGUUCAAAUAAACAGACAUGGCUCAGAAGGCUUGGGUCCUUCUCCAAUUAGCUCGUGCCUGCAUAUAAAAGAUUUGGAGAGUACUGCGGUGUUCUGAUUGUAAAAGAGAGAGAGUAAGAGAAAGGCACUAGAACUCUGAAUCAGGACUGCUGAAGACUUUGAAAGGGACUAUGUUGGUCUUCCCUACGGAUGGAGGGUUUCCUGCGAUCUUAACCAUUCAACUGCCUCCUUCCGUUAAAGAAUUGAGCCAACAUUCAGAUAACAUUCUUCAGGCAGGACACAGAACAGCCAGACCUGCUGUACAGACGGCUUGCACUGCACACCGCCCCAGAUUGCUGCAUAUGCAGCCAGCAGCUGUUCAAAUAAACAGACAUGGCUCAGAAGGCUUGGGUCCUUCUCCAAUUAGCUCGUGCCUCCAUAUAAAAGAUUUGGAGAGUACUGCGGUGUUCUGAAUGGAAAAGAGAGAGAGUAAGAGAAAGGCACUAGAACUCUGAAACAGGACUGCUGAAGAUUUUGAAAGGGACUAUGUUGGUCUUCCCUAGGGAUGGAGGGUUUCCUGCGAUCUUAACCAUUCAACUGCCUCCUUCCCUGAAAGAAUUGAGCCAAGAUUCAGAUAAGAUUCUUCAGGCAGGACACAGAACAGCCAGACCUGCUGUACAGACGGCUUGCACUGCACACCGCCCCAGAUCGCUGCAUAUGCAGCCAGCAGCUGUUCAAAUAAACAGACAUGGCUCAGAAGGCUUGGGUCCUUCUCCAAUUAGCUCGUGCCUGCAUAUAAAAGAUUUGGAGAGUACUGCGGUGUUCUGAAUGGAAAAGAGAGAGAGUAAGAGAAAGGCACUAGAACUCUGAAUCAGGACUGCUGAAGACUUUGAAAGGGACUAUGUUGGUCUUCCCUACGGAUGGAGGGUUUCCUGCGAUCUUAACCAUUCAACUGCCUCCUUCCCUGAAAGAAUUGAGCCAAGAUUCAGAUAAGAUUCUUCAGGCAGGAUACAGAACAGGCUGACCUGCUGUACAGACGACUUGCACUGCACACAGCCCCAGAUCGCUGCACAUGCAGCCAGCAACAAUGCAAACAAACAGAGAUGGCUCAGAAGGCUUGGGUCCUUCUCCAAUUAGCUCGUGCCUGCAUAUAAAAGAUUUGGAGAGUACUGCGGUGUUCUGAAUGGAACAAGAGAGAGAGUGAGAGAAAGGCACUAGAACUCUGGAUCAGACAGAGAAUGUUGUCCUCUUUGAGAAACCCCCCCUUCACCCCUAGCAGCUGACUCAGACAGAUACAGUGGAUGAAGCUUUGGAACUCUUAUGGAAGAAUAGGAGGAAGGAUUUCGAGCUCCAAAGGGGAUAGGAGUUCCACAGGAAGGCCGACAGAGUCAACAAACUUGGAUCCUUGGUGCUUUCAGAGUCUGAAGCACCAUCCAAAGAGCACACCCAAGCUGCACUUAGGCCUCCCCACUCACAUGUAGCAAUCAUGCAGCUUGAUCAUCAUGUGGGUUCUGAACAACAGGAACAGGGGCUAUUUUAAAAGCUGUUGCCUGGAAAGGAUUGAAGGAGUUGAAGGGGAUGGCAUAAGAACAACAACAGUAUCAACUAACCUGGAUCCCUGGGCGCUCCCAGAAACUGAACUAACAAUCAAAGAUAUACACUGGUUAAUAAGGCUAUCAGCAUAUAUGUAACAGAGGACCACCUUGUCUGGCCUCAAUGGGAAAGUAUGCACAAUCUGGCCUCAGUGGGAGAUAAUCUUCUUGUGCACUCUGUACAGAUUGUCUCUAUUGUUUCAAGUGUUGAUUUCUGGACCAGCAGAAUGCUUUCUGAACUGUUAUUUUUAUGAAGCAUCACCUAUCUCGUUGUUUUCUAAACAUUCUUCUGCAGCACAUUCUGACUUGUUUAAUAAAGAGCUGAUGGCCUAUAUCAGAGCAGGAGAGAGAAAAUGGAACAUCAGAAAAGAGAGAGGAACUCUAGGAAGGAGUCAGGUGGAGGGAUUCACCAGUCAAACACAGAGGAAGGAGCAGGUGCCAGAACUGAAGGGGAGAGAACGUGAUACAUGGCAGAACUUAGAUUAGAAAAUUAAUUAAAAGAAGGUUAAUUAAAUUAUACAAGCCAGUUAGGAACAAGCCUAAGCUAAGGCCUGAGAUUAAUAAGUCUGUCAUUAUUGGAAGAGGUCAGGUUGAGACAGUCUGGUGGUACUCUUGAGCUGAAGGGCUUCGCUUAGAGGAAAUCAGCAAGCAGUUUUUCUUUUUUUAUGGAGACUUCCUUUUUGGCAAAUCAUAGAAGCCUUGUUAGAGUUAGCAUUUUGUGACCAUUUCCUGCCUGGUUUCUCGACUCUGGCUGCACAGUACUCCAUCUAAUGAAUGGGGAGAACCUGAUGUGGUUUGUAUAUCCCUGUUCAGGCCAGAGACAUCCCAUUGCCCUCUCGUUCUUUCUGGUUAGAUAGUACAAACUUGGAGUCAUGUAGAUGCCCUGGUAAGACCAGGGGGAGCUUAGUUCAAUAGAGUUCCAAAGGCUAGGAACUGUAAGGUAUUCUGUGAGAUUAGGGGCAAAAGCUAAAGAUUUGGAUAGACCCAGCAUGAGAUUUGGGAACUGGGGAAGACUCAGAGCCACCCAGCCUUUGAUGGGUGCCUAGCAUCUGGAUGGUACAAGAAAGAAUUGUUAAAUGUCAUUGUCCGUGUACUCUAUUGUCAUUGGCUCUGUUUUCUGUUGUUGCUUGGGCCUUAUGUCUUGUGUGUCUGGUCUAUCUUCAUGUUUCUGACUUGAGAUGGUAUGGAAACCUUGCACCCAUAAGCCAGGCACCAAUGAUUCCACCCCACCUCCUACCCUGGGUCUAGUUGGAAUGAGGUCGGAUCAUGCUAUCUGCAAGCUGCUUUUGGAAAAGUCACUCCCAAUAUGGAGUUUUGAGGGAGUAGGAUUUGCUUGGAACCUGUAGGCUUAGAUUUUUUUUUUCAAAACCUACUUUAAUUAGGGUUCUUUAACCCUUCAAUAUCGGGUUGGGGAUUUAGCUCAGUGGUAGAGCGCUUGCCUAGCAAGCACAAGGUCCUGGGUUCAGUCCUCAGCUCCAGAAAAAAAAAAAGUCACAAACCCUUCAAUAUCCCUUCUAGCGGACCUACCAGAGGUAGGGGGAAAGAAAGGUUAAUAGGAAACAGAGGUCGUAGACCUGUUUAGAAGUAACCCUUUGGGGGAUAUCCCAGUCUUUGUUGUCAGGAUAUAAGCAGCCCAGUCCAAAACAUCAAACGUCAGUCGGUAGUGGCAAUGCAGUCUAAUUGGCAAACACCAAACAUGAAUCAGUAGCAGCAGCUCAAUCCAGCCGAAAUAGCAUGAAAAGUUUUUGGCAAGUUUCUAUGAAGUCACAAGCAAAGGUCCUUGACUUGGUACAAAGCAAACCAAUACAAGAGCCUGGUCUCUCUGUUAUAUUUGUAUUCUUUCUAAUCAUCACGUGUCCUUUCAUGUGUCUGCCUCAACAACACAUUCCUUCACCUAUCUACUUCAGCAAAACAGCCUCUCACCUGUCUGCUUCAGCAAAACAUCACAUGACAUAACUGAGUCUCCAAAGAAACCAGGAACUUCCACUUUAGGGACCAGUGGUUAUUGUUUAAAAACCCAGAGUCCCAUGAGGAAAACAGCGGCCAAUCCUAUUACAGCACCACUGUCCCUGAGAAAAUGGGAUUCAGCAGCUGUGAGGAGCGCCUACGCUGAAAUUCCAGCACUGGAGGAGGACUACUUAACAAACAAACUGCAACCAAUGGCAUCAACCACCAAUCUACCAACCUGUGCCUCCUGCAUCAAGGCCAUAACAUUUAUAUAUCUAUAAAUAAAACUAUUAUUCAUCUGA
Molecule: small RNA, 7530 nt
Filed under: Rattus norvegicus (Norway rat)
Lineage: Eukaryota; Metazoa; Chordata; Mammalia; Rodentia; Muridae
Description: uncharacterized LOC102549750
Rfam family: tRNA (bases 6691-6759)
Source: RNAcentral